This 274-nucleotide ribosomal RNA is filed under the name uncultured bacterium. Its description in RNAcentral is "partial 16S ribosomal RNA". It matches the Rfam family "Bacterial small subunit ribosomal RNA", at positions 523 to 796 of the family's 1533-position model. The record is from RNAcentral.
AUACGGAGGGUCCAAGCGUUAUCCGGAUUUAUUGGGUUUAAAGGGUCCGUAGGCGGGAGAAUAAGUCAGUGGUGAAAGCCUGCAGCUCAACUGCAGAACUGCCAUUGAAACUGUUUUUCUUGAAUAUAGAUGAAGUGGGCGGAAUGUAUCAUGUAGCGGUGAAAUGCAUAGAUAUGAUACAGAACACCGAUUGCGAAGGCAGCUCACUAAACUAUUAUUGACGCUGAGGGACGAAAGCGUGGGGAGCGAACAGGAUUAGAAACCCUAGUAGUCC